GAUGAACGCUGGCGGCGUGCCUAAUACAUGCAAGUCGAGCGAACGGACGAUAAGCUUGCUUCUCUGAUGUUAGCGGCGGACGGGUGAGUAACACGUGGAUAACCUACCUAUAAGACUGGGAUAACUUCGGGAAACCGGAUCUAAUACCGGAUAAUAUUUUGAACCGCAUGGUUCAAUAGUGAAAGACGGUCUUGCUGUCACUUAUAGCUGGAUCCGCGCUGCAUUAGCUAGUUGGUAAGGUAACGGCUUACCAAGGCAACGAUGCAUAGCCGACCUGAGAGGGGGAUCGGCCACAAUGGAACUGAGACACGGUCCAGACUCCUAAGGGAGGCAGCAGUAGGGAAGGGUACGCAAUGGGCGAAAGCCUGACGGAGAAACGCCGAGUGAGUGAUGAAGGUCCUCGGAUCGUAAAACUCUGUUAUUAGGGAAGAACAGAUGUGGAAGUAACUGUGCACAUCUUGACGGUACCUAAUCAGAAAGCCACGGCUAACUACGUG
Molecule: ribosomal RNA, 497 nt
Filed under: uncultured bacterium
Lineage: Bacteria
Description: partial 16S ribosomal RNA
Rfam family: Bacterial small subunit ribosomal RNA
Source: RNAcentral